This 95-nucleotide transfer RNA is filed under the name Pseudomonas taiwanensis. Its description in RNAcentral is "tRNA-Sec". It matches the Rfam family "Selenocysteine transfer RNA". RNAcentral also lists the same sequence under 4 other names. Lineage: Bacteria; Pseudomonadati; Pseudomonadota; Gammaproteobacteria; Pseudomonadales; Pseudomonadaceae. The record is from RNAcentral.
GAAGGCAAGCACGCCCGGUGGCGUGGCCGGGCUUCAAACCCGGUGGGGGACGGCAGCCGUUCCUGGGUGAGUUCGACUCUCACUGCCUUCCGCCA